UACAGCUUUGAACAUACUUGACUCACCUGCUCCGGCGUUGUCGCCUCCUUCCUCUGCUGACAGCUGGGGGCUUUGUUUCUCCACCCCCUCAGCCUGCCACGCUCCGCCUCCACAGACUCACGUGACUCGCCGUCUGCCACCGUCAGCGUCCACUUGAGAGAGCCCCCGGGCGCCGCCUCUUCUCCGGGUGCAGGUGGAGACCCCAGCAGUAGAAGGGACCCUCAGGUUCGAGGCGAUUCGCAGAGGAACUCUGGGUCAGACAGGCUGAACUGGUGACAGAGGGGAAAGUGUGGGGGUUGGGGAAGAAAUGGAGAAAGCCGAUGGCUGCAGCCAGCUGGGAGCAGAAGGGCGAAGCUUGCCGAGAAUCCAAAGGUGAUGUUCCACCCUGAAUGAAGUACCUGCACCUGGACUCUUCAUGGCACCCCGAAACUAUUUGCACUCACUCCUAGGAACUUCUGGAUAGGGAGGGACAACCUAGUUUUUUCCAUGAAUAUUAAUUAAAAGAAGCACCUCAUAGCCGGAUAGCGCUAUUAACGAUUUAUUAACUGUGCACUGUAUGAAGGUUCCAAACCUACCUUUUGUUUCUGUUGAUGUUUGGGUUCAAGUUGGAAAAUAGGUUCCGGACUGGGGAAGUUCACUCCGGAAGAUGAUUGGUGUGGGCACGUGUCCUUCUGGAACAGCAGCCGUUUUUAAUGAAACGAACUAAAAAAAUGUUAGGGCCUCAAGAUCAGGCUCAGUAUCUGCUGUUCUUGGAAGUGGUCCCACCCCCGCUGUUUCCAAUACUCUCCAGUGUCUGCAUCGGAAACAAAUUGCUGUGGGACUCCUUCCUUUAGUCCCUGGAGAACAGGGUCAGCCUCAUCUUGAUGCCCCCACUCUCCCUGCUAACUAAGGAGAAGAAUGCCUCUCCUCCAGCUGUCACUAAAAAUCCUUAUAGGGGUUGACCUCAGCACGGCACUCGUUCAGAAGGAUUCGCUGGGGGAUUUUCUUAGAACAAAUUCGAAUACUUUGUCUUCAACCGUGACUGUCAUCAGCUCGUCUGUGAAUGUGACUUACUGGUGUCGGAGCAACGUGAGCGGCUGUGAGCUGUCGCCCAGAGGAUGAUCCGUGGGAACACGACUGGGGAGAGACUGUGUCCCUCACGAUAGGGCAAACUAUGCCUCUGUAACAAAUGCUACCAAACUCUCAGUGGCUGACACACGGACAGACUCCAGGGAAGCUGGCCUAGAUGAUUGUCUUUCUAGCCUGCUUCAUCCUUGGACAGCUCCCUGAGCACCCAGCAGAAAAGGGAGCAGAAAGAAAUGCACACGAACCUGCGUGCCUUCACUCACAGGUGACCCAAAGUUUUUCCAGUUUCAUUGUUUAAAAGAAGUUAUGUUAAGUUCAGACUUUAAGAAGUGUGCACUCAACAGAAAGAGGAAAGCAGAGAGUUUGUGACUGUGGAUGAUAUCACCCACAGGGAUCCAUUUAGAGGAAGUUGGGGAUAAAAUCACACUAAAGAGUUUAGCUUUAGCAGGAGGUUUGCAGAAUUACCAGUUGGGUGACUGCAGUACUGUGGGGCAUUUUAUUGGGGGGAGUGGGGCACUAAUGUGCUGUUGUCAUACAGCAUUAUCAAGAGAAACACUUGUCAGUCCACUCCAGGUCAGGUCAGUCCACUCCAGGCCUUGACAAUCCAGACACAUCUGCGAUGUACUGUCCUGGCUGCUCCCCAGGUAGCAUACCCGCCUUGAAUGUGUAAGGCUACAACAACACAAGACAACUUUCUGAUUUUGAUGACACUUAUGGUA
Molecule: long non-coding RNA, 1784 nt
Organism: Myodes glareolus (Bank vole)
Lineage: Eukaryota; Metazoa; Chordata; Mammalia; Rodentia; Cricetidae
Source: RefSeq, a predicted model, not a curated record